This 698-nucleotide long non-coding RNA is filed under the name Homo sapiens (human). RNAcentral's name for it is "HSALNT0118336". Lineage: Eukaryota; Metazoa; Chordata; Mammalia; Primates; Hominidae. The record is from RNAcentral.
CCGGCCGGGCCGGCGGCGUCUGCGCUGGGGAAGGCUGUAGACCUGGCCCCUGAAGUGCAGGCCGAUCCGGUGUGCGUGGAGCGAAGCCUCCUCGCCCUCAGCAUUCCAGUAGCCUGCGGACGGGCGUGGGGCCCCGGACACUGGAACGCCACACUCUGCAAAACCCAGUGGCCAGGGGUGCAACUUGCACGUGCACUCGGGGUAAAAGAUCAAGAAACGAAUGCAUUCAGAAGUCAGGCCUGGCCAGGCUCGGUGGCUCACACCUGUAUUCCAAUACUUUGAGAGGCUGAGGUGGGAGGAUCGCUGGAGAACAAAAGUUGGAGACCAGCCCCGAUAACAUAGCGACCCAGGCAUGGUGGCAUGUGCCUGUAGUUCCAGCUACUGGGGAGGCUGAGGUGGGAGGUCACGUCACUUGAGCCCAGUAGGUAGAGGCUGCAGUGAGUUAUUAUUGCACCACUGCACUCCAGUCUGGGUGACAGAGUGAGACCCUGUCUCAAAAAAAAAAAGAACAAGGUCAGGCCUUCUCCUUCCUAAGACAUGCAUGUCAGAAGAAUUCCAGCCUUUCAGCUGUCUUAUAUUUAAUGGAGCCUCUCCUCCUUCCCUCCUGGGUGUGGCCAUGUCAAAAAAGCGAAAACAACAAUAUUUGUUACCACUGCUGGAUGAACAGGGCCAUCAAAAAUGGGAAACAUUUUGAAAAC